AGUCGUAACAAGGUAUCCGUAGGUGAACCUGCGGAUGGAUCAUUAAUGGAUUUUUUUCAAAGUCUUGUGCACCGUUUUUUUUGGAUUACCUUGCCUGUGCGUGCGUGUGCUUGCUUGCGUGUGCGUGUGCGGGCAGCGGUAGUCUAUAACAACUACUACACGUAUAUCACUUAUAAACUGACGUCUACUCUUAAAGUAGUAGUAAACAAUGUAAAUACAACUUUUAGCAACGGAUCUCUUGGCUCUC
Molecule: unclassified non-coding RNA, 247 nt
Filed under: fungal sp.
Lineage: Eukaryota; Fungi
Description: partial internal transcribed spacer region
Rfam family: Eukaryotic small subunit ribosomal RNA (bases 1-45)
Source: RNAcentral